UAUUAACAUACAAUUAAAAUCACAUUUCAGUACAAGUAAAAUACCACCAUACACUUUAUUUAACAAUGUAAUGCGAAUUGCUAGUCCUUGAAAUUUACCAACUAUUUAGGAUAAUAAAGAAAUGCAGGUUAGUAGUUAUUACAAUCAAACUUGUAGUCAUAUUAGGUAUGUUUUCAAGGUUAAACAGAAGUAUAUUUUAGAUAGACAGGUCAUCUUCAAACACUUCAGAGAUCUACAGAACAUGGCAUUUAAGAUGUUUUAAUUACAGAUUUUUUUCUUUUUUUAUAACAGUGAGACAUGUCCACUCUUGGCAACCCCAAUAUGCUUCAGAGAAGAUGAUGGGAACUGAAGAAACUGCAUAUGGAGUUCACUUUCUUUGUGGCAAAAGCCACUGGGCAAGAAAAUGCCCUUGUAUUGACUGCUGACAGUAUACUAUCCAAAAUGGACAAGUAAGACACAGAAGAAAGGACUGCCAAUCUUUGCCAAGACAAGAGAAUGUGCAUGAAGAAAAAUGUUUCUCAGCCCAAGCCCAAGACACAGUUGGAUGCUCUUUCACCAUCUUGGACCACAUUUGUCCUUGCCAAGUGUCUCAGUUAGGGCCUCUACUGCUUUGAUAAAACACUAUGACCAAAAGAAAUCCAGGGACAGCUGGAAGAAACGUGUGAGUGA
Molecule: long non-coding RNA, 669 nt
Organism: Peromyscus californicus insignis
Lineage: Eukaryota; Metazoa; Chordata; Mammalia; Rodentia; Cricetidae
Exons: 3
Source: RefSeq, a predicted model, not a curated record